GACGAACGCUGGCGGCGUGCUUAACACAUGCAAGUCGAGCGGUAAGGCCCUUUCGGGGGUACAUGAGCGGCGAACGGGUGAGUAACACGUGGGUGACCUGCCCUCAGCUCUGGGAUAAGCCUGGGAAACUGGGUCUAAUACUGGAUAUGACUCCACGGUGCAUGUCGUGGGGUGGAAAGCCUUGUGCGGCUGAGGAUGGGCCCGCGGCCUAUCAGCUUGUUGGUGGGGUGAUGGCCUACCAAGGCGACGACGGGUAGCCGGCCUGAGAGGGCGACCGGCCACACUGGGACUGAGACACGGCCCAGACUCCUACGGGAGGCAGCAGUGGGGAAUCUUGCGCAAUGGGCGAAAGCCUGACGCAGCGACGCCGCGUGAGGGAUGACGGCC
This 387-nucleotide ribosomal RNA is filed under the name uncultured bacterium. RNAcentral describes it as "bacterial SSU rRNA". It matches the Rfam family "Bacterial small subunit ribosomal RNA", at positions 28 to 416 of the family's 1533-position model. The record is from RNAcentral.